GUACAUUAGUGCUUGCGCACGACAGUAAAUUUCAUUACAUUCGAGUUUGUGUAAAAUCCUCUGCCGGCCGAAGCUAGCAAGAGGCCAGAAGUUCACAAGGGUAUUGGAUGAAAGUCACCCACGUGCACUUGCCGGGGCCAGCACUGAAGGUAACGAUUCACAAUCAAUAAUGAUCCUUCCGCAGGUUCACCUACGGAAA
RNAcentral lists this unclassified non-coding RNA (199 nucleotides) under uncultured fungus. RNAcentral describes it as "sequence contains ITS1". Lineage: Eukaryota; Fungi. The record is from RNAcentral.